RNAcentral lists this long non-coding RNA (325 nucleotides) under Brachypodium distachyon (stiff brome). Its description in RNAcentral is "long non-coding RNA (BDIS_LNC001071)". The record is from RNAcentral. Lineage: Eukaryota; Viridiplantae; Streptophyta; Magnoliopsida; Poales; Poaceae.
GCUUCCUUGGUAGAUCGAUCCCCUCACGUGAUCAAAAUGUGUUGGUGAGAAGACGAGGGACAGCCGCUGAUCAAACAAUAGUCUUUUUUCUUUUCGCCGAAAACGACGUUUUUUUUUCUUCUUCUUCUUCUUCUUCAUGUUGUUAACAAAUCUUCCCCGUCGUGCUAUCCCGACCGCAAGUAGUAGCAAAACCGAAAGCACGCACGCACGUUUCCAAUACUUGCCCUGCAUGCAGUAAUCUGCUCCGGCGUUUCCUUGCCUUGUCAUCAUGCGCGGCGCUCAGGCAAGCAAAUCCACGACAGAAGAAAAAGGAGAUUGGAAGAAG